RNAcentral lists this ribosomal RNA (814 nucleotides) under uncultured fungus. Its description in RNAcentral is "eukaryotic LSU rRNA". The stretch from base 403 to 814 matches the Rfam family "Eukaryotic large subunit ribosomal RNA", at positions 1 to 409 of the family's 3401-position model. The record is from RNAcentral. Lineage: Eukaryota; Fungi.
ACUGUGUGCUGCUUGCAGUGUGCAGUGACUUGCAACAUUAGCACAGGGUCGCAAGAUCUCUGAUGUUUACGCUUGUUUGUUUGACAGAGUUAGUUCAGAAUAAAUAUAGACAACUUUUAACAAUGGAUCUCUUGGCUCUUGCAACGAUGAAGAACGCAGUAAAGUGCGAUAUGUAGUGCGAUUUGCAUGAAUCUGUGAGUCAUCUAAUCUCUGAACGCAACUUGCGCCUUUUACGAGGCAUGUUUGUUUGAGUGUCGCAAUCUUCUGCAGCAAUGCGAUUUGACACGUGUCUUUGUUGACCGAGUUUAAACAGAGCUAGAGGAUGGUCAGUUUGGACUAGUCCGAGUGCUAAGCAUUCUUGGGUCUAGGACGGAUUGGCUGUUAAAUCUAACUUUUUUUAUUUGGCCUCAAAUCAAGCAAGACUACCCGCUGAACUUAAGCAUAUCAGUAAGCGGAGGAAAAGAAACUAACAAGGAUUCCCCUAGUAACGGCGAGUGAAGCGGGAAUAGCUCAAAUUUAAAAUCUCGGCGCUUUUGCGUCGCGAAUUGUAGUCUAAAGAGGGUUAUCUAUGGUUGGCGGUGUGCUCAAGUUCCUUGGAAUAGGACGCCAGAGAGGGUGAGAGCCCCGUAAAAGCACAUUGCUGGCCUCAAGUGAGAACCUCUCAACGAGUCGAGUUGUUUGGGAAUGCAGCUCAAAGUAGGUGGUAAAUCUCAUCUAAGGCUAAAUACUGGCAAGAGACCGAUAGCGAACAAGUACCGUGAGGGAAAGAUGAAAAGCACCUUGAAAAGGGAGUUAAAUAGUGCGUGAAAUUGUU